GAGAUAUUAGUAAAAAUUACAUAACUUUGUCAGG
RNAcentral lists this transfer RNA (34 nucleotides) under Ursus arctos (brown bear). Its description in RNAcentral is "partial tRNA-Asp". Lineage: Eukaryota; Metazoa; Chordata; Mammalia; Carnivora; Ursidae. The record is from RNAcentral.